Molecule: ribosomal RNA, 820 nt
Filed under: uncultured Megasphaera sp.
Lineage: Bacteria; Bacillati; Bacillota; Negativicutes; Veillonellales; Veillonellaceae
Description: bacterial SSU rRNA
Rfam family: Bacterial small subunit ribosomal RNA
Source: RNAcentral
CGAGAGCGUAGAGAAAGCUUGCUUUUUCUACAAUCUAGUGGCAAACGGGUGAGAUACGCGUAAACAACCUGCCCUACGGAUGGGGACAACAGCUGGAAACGGCUGCUAAUACCGAAUACGUUCCGAAAGUCGCAUGACUGUCGGAAGAAAGGAUGGCCUCUAUUUAUAAGCUAUCGCCGGAGGGGGGGUUUGCGUCUGAUUAGCUAGUUGGAGGGGUAACGGCCCACCAAGGCGACGAUCAGUAGCCGGUCUGAGAGGAUGAACGGCCACAUUGGAACUGAGACACGGUCCAGACUCCUACGGGAGGCAGCAGUNGGGAAUCUUCCGCAAUGGGCGAAAGCUUGACGGAGCAACGCCGCGUGAGUNAAGACGGCCUUCGGGUUGUAAAGCUCUGUUAUACGGACGAAUAGUCUUGUGGUUAAUACCCAUGAGAAGUGACGGUACCGUAAGAGAAAGCCACGGCUAACUACGUGCCAGCAGCCGCGGUAAUACGUAGGUGGCAAGCGUUGUCCGGAAUUAUUGGGCGUAAAGGGCGCGCAGGCGGCUUCUUAAGUCUGUCUUAAAAGUGCGGGGCUUAACCCCGUGAUGGGAUGGAAACUGGGAAGCUCAGAGUAUCGGAGAGGAAAGCGGAAUUCCUAGUGUAGCGGUGAAAUGCGUAGAUAUUAGGAGGAACACCAGUGGCGAAAGCGGCUUUCUGGACGAAAACUGACGCUGAGGCGCGAAAGCCAGGGGAGCGAACGGGAUUAGAUACCCCGGUAGUCCUGGCCGUAAACGAUGGGUACUAGGUGUAGGAGGUAUCGACCCCUUCUGUGCCGGAGUU